Molecule: transfer RNA, 67 nt
Filed under: Amazona aestiva (blue-fronted amazon)
Lineage: Eukaryota; Metazoa; Chordata; Aves; Psittaciformes; Psittacidae
Rfam family: tRNA
About the family: Transfer RNA (tRNA) molecules are approximately 80 nucleotides in length. Their secondary structure includes four short double-helical elements and three loops (D, anti-codon, and T loops).
Source: Rfam by way of RNAcentral
GGCACGGUGGCCAAGUGGUAAGGCAUUGGUCUCGUAAACUGAAGAUCACGGGUUCGAACCCCUGCCG